GUCUAGGGCCAUGCCACCCUGAAGAAGCCCGAUCCUGUCUGAUCUCGGAAGCUAAGCAAAGUUUGUUAGUACUUGGAUGGGAGACCACCUAGGAAGACCAGGUGCUGUAGGCG
RNAcentral lists this ribosomal RNA (113 nucleotides) under Pteropus alecto (black flying fox). Lineage: Eukaryota; Metazoa; Chordata; Mammalia; Chiroptera; Pteropodidae. The record is from RNAcentral.